RNAcentral lists this transfer RNA (73 nucleotides) under Levilactobacillus suantsaii. It matches the Rfam family "tRNA". From Rfam's summary of the family: Transfer RNA (tRNA) molecules are approximately 80 nucleotides in length. Their secondary structure includes four short double-helical elements and three loops (D, anti-codon, and T loops). Further hydrogen bonds mediate the characteristic L-shaped molecular structure. tRNAs have two regions of fundamental functional importance: the anti-codon, which is responsible for specific mRNA codon recognition, and the 3' end, to which the tRNAs corresponding amino acid is attached (by aminoacyl-tRNA synthetases). tRNAs cope with the degeneracy of the genetic code in two manners: having more than one tRNA (with a specific anti-codon) for a particular amino acid; and 'wobble' base-pairing, i.e. permitting non-standard base-pairing at the 3rd anti-codon position. The record is from Rfam by way of RNAcentral. Lineage: Bacteria; Bacillati; Bacillota; Bacilli; Lactobacillales; Lactobacillaceae.
GAAUCCUUAGCUCAGCUGGUAGAGCACCGGUCUUUUAAACCGGGGGUCGUGGGAUUGAAGCCCACAGGGUUCA